Molecule: ribosomal RNA, 1569 nt
Filed under: Triticum aestivum (bread wheat)
Lineage: Eukaryota; Viridiplantae; Streptophyta; Magnoliopsida; Poales; Poaceae
Description: partial small subunit ribosomal RNA
Source: RNAcentral
AUGGAGAUUGCCAUGGUAUGCACAAGAGUUAACCUCCUCAUCCUCAUCCUCUCCCUCUGCUCGCCAUACAAGUUCAUCCAGAGCCCCAUGGACUUUGGCCCCUUGAACCUGCUCCCCACCACCAUCGCUGCGUCCAGUGAUUUCGGUAGGAUCCUCUUCCACUCCCCGUCCGCGGUGUUGAAGCCCCAGUCCCCGAGGGACAUCUCUCUGCUUCUUAGCUUCCUCUCUGCCUCGUCUCUAGGCAAGGUGACAGUGGCGGCCAGGGGUGCGGGUCACUCCAUUCAUGGACAGGCCCAGGCCCUCGAUGGCAUUGUGGUGGAGAUGCGCUCCUUGCCUGCCGAGAUAGAGCUGCACAAAGGAGGAGAAGGAGAUGCUUCCUAUGCUGAUGUGAGCGGCGGAGCCAUGUGGAUAGAGCUCCUGGAGCAGAGCUUGAAGGCUGGGCUGGCUCCAAGGUCCUGGACUGAUUACCUCUACAUCACCAUUGGUGGGACUUUGUCCAAUGCCGGCAUCAGCGGGCAGACAUUCAAGCAUGGGCCUCAGAUUAGCAAUGUUCUACAGCUGGAGGUAGUCACAGGCAGGGGAGAGACCAUGACAUGCUCGCCCACCAAGAAUGCAGAGCUGUUCAGCGCUGUUCUGGGAGGCCUUGGCCAGUUUGGCAUCAUAACUAGGGCAAGGAUCCUGCUGCAGGAAGCUCCACAGAAAGUGAAGUGGGUGAGGGCCUUCUACGACGAUUUUGGCACCUUCACCAAAGACCAGGAGUUGCUGGUGUCGAUGCCGGAUAUGGUGGACUACGUAGAAGGUUUCAUCGUCUUGAACGAACAGUCCCUUCACAGCUCCUCCAUCGCCUUCCCUGCAAAUAUGGACUUCAGCCCAGAUUUUGGCACCAAGGGCAGGCCUAAGAUCUACUACUGCAUAGAGUUUGCGGUUCAUGAUUAUCAGCGCAAGAAUACCAAUGUGGAGCACGUGGUGGAAGCCAUCUCAGUGCAGAUGAGCCACAUAGCAUCCCACCUGUACAGUGUGGAGGUGUCCUACUUUGAUUUCCUCAACAGGGUGAGGAUGGAGGAGAUGAGCCUGAGGAGCAGCGGGCUCUGGGAGGUGCACCACCCGUGGCUCAACAUGUUCGUGCCCAAGGCCGGGAUCAGGGACCUGAGGGACCUUCUCAUGGACAACAUCUCACCGGAUAACUUUGAGGGGCUCAUCCUCAUCUAUCCACUCCUCAGAGACAAGUGGGGCACUAACACAUCGGUCGUGCUACCGGAUUCCGGGUCCACAGAGCAGGUGAUGUACGUGGUUGGCAUUCUCCGUUCUGCAAACCCUGAUGAAGGAUGCUCCCACCACUGCCUCCAAGAGCUUCUCCGCCGUCAUCGCCACAUAGCUGACACCGCCGGAGUGCGCAUCGGUGCAAAACAGUACUUGGCUCACCAUCCAACUCCGGCUGGCUGGCACCAACACUUUGGCCCGCGUUGGGAGCGGUUCGCGGAGCGCAAAAACCGGUUUGACCCGCUGUCCAUCCUCGGGCCAGGCCAAGGUAUAUUCCCCAAGGGCAGCAAUGGGGUUUAUGCAAGCUGA